RNAcentral lists this ribosomal RNA (548 nucleotides) under uncultured bacterium. RNAcentral's name for it is "bacterial SSU rRNA". It matches the Rfam family "Bacterial small subunit ribosomal RNA", at positions 355 to 896 of the family's 1533-position model. The record is from RNAcentral.
UGGGGAAUUUUGGACAAUGGGCGCAAGCCUGAUCCAGCAAUGCCGCGUGCAGGAUGAAGGCCUUCGGGUUGUAAACUGCUUUUGUACGGAACGAAACGGCGAGCUCUAAUACAGUUUGCUAAUGACGGUACCGUAAGAAUAAGCACCGGCUAACUACGUGCCAGCAGCCGCGGUAAUACGUAGGGUGCAAGCGUUAAUCGGAAUUACUGGGCGUAAAGCGUGCGCAGGCGGUUAUGUAAGACAGAUGUGAAAUCCCCGGGCUUAACCUGGGAACUGCAUUUGUGACUGCAUAGCUAGAGUACGGUAGAGGGGGAUGGGAUUCCGCGUGUAGCAGUGAAAUGCGUAGAUAUGCGGAGGAACACCGAUGGCGAAGGCAAUUCCCUGGACCUGUACUGACGCUCAUGCACGAAAGCGUGGGGAGCAAACAGGAUUAGAUACCCUGGUAGUCCACGCCCUAAACGAUGUCAACUGGUUGUUGGGUCUUCACUGACUCAGUAACGAGGCUAACGCGUGAAGUUGACCGCCUGGGGAGUACGGCCGCAAGGUUG